CCUGGCUCAGAUUGAACGCUGGCGGCAUGCCUUACACAUGCAAGUCGAACGGUAACAGGUCUUCGGAUGCUGACGAGUGGCGAACGGGUGAGUAAUACAUCGGAACGAGCCCAGACGUGGGGGAUAACGAGGCGAAAGCUUUGCUAAUACCGCAUACGAUCUAAGGAUGAAAGCAGGGGACCGCAAGGCCUUGCGCGUUUGGAGCGGCCGAUGGCAGAUUAGGUAGUUGGUGGGAUAAAAGCUUACCAAGCCGACGAUCUGUAGCUGGUCUGAGAGGACGACCAGCCACACUGGGACUGAGACACGGCCCAGACUCCUACGGGAGGCAGCAGUGGGGGAAUUUUGGACAAUGGGCGAAAGCCUGAUCCAGCAA
Molecule: ribosomal RNA, 373 nt
Filed under: uncultured Comamonadaceae bacterium
Lineage: Bacteria; Pseudomonadati; Pseudomonadota; Betaproteobacteria; Burkholderiales; Comamonadaceae
Description: bacterial SSU rRNA
Rfam family: Bacterial small subunit ribosomal RNA
Source: RNAcentral